RNAcentral lists this ribosomal RNA (46 nucleotides) under Wallemia sebi. Its description in RNAcentral is "partial 5.8S ribosomal RNA". It matches the Rfam family "5.8S ribosomal RNA", at positions 1 to 45 of the family's 154-position model. Rfam says of the family: 5.8S ribosomal RNA (5.8S rRNA) is a component of the large subunit of the eukaryotic ribosome. The record is from RNAcentral. Lineage: Eukaryota; Fungi; Basidiomycota; Wallemiomycetes; Wallemiales; Wallemiaceae.
AAACUUUCAGCAACGGAUCUCUUGGUUCAGGCAUCGAUGAAGAACG